Molecule: unclassified non-coding RNA, 244 nt
Filed under: plant metagenome
Description: partial contains small subunit ribosomal RNA, internal transcribed spacer 1, and 5.8S ribosomal RNA
Source: RNAcentral
UCUCCGUUGGUGAACCAGCGGAGGGAUCAUUACCGAGUUUACAACUCCCAAACCCUAUGUGAACCAUACCACACUGUUGCCUCGGCGGGGUCACGCCCCGGGUGCGUCGCAGCCCCGGACCCGGGCGCCCGCCGGAGGGACCAACCAAACUCCUUCUGUAGUCCCCUCGCGGACGUUAUUUUUACAGCUCUGGGCAAAAAUUCAAAAUGAGUCAAAACUUUCAACAACGGAUCUCUUGGUUCUG